Molecule: ribosomal RNA, 923 nt
Filed under: uncultured bacterium
Lineage: Bacteria
Also listed under: 1 other name
Description: bacterial SSU rRNA
Rfam family: Bacterial small subunit ribosomal RNA
Source: RNAcentral
UGGAUCCAGACUUUGAUUAUGGCUCAGGAUGAACGCUAGCUACAGGCUUAACACAUGCAAGUCGAGGGGCAGCGAUGAAGAAAGCUUGCUUUCUUCAGGCGGCGACCGGCGCACGGGUGAGUAACGCGUAUCGAACCUGCCUCAUACUCAGGAAUAGCCUUGCGAAAGUAAGAUUAAUGCCCGAUGUUAUUAGGAUAUCACAUGAUAUUUUAAUUAAAGAUUUAUCGGUAUGAGAUGGCGAUGCGUCCCAUUAGCUUGUUGGCGGGGUAACGGCCCACCAAGGCAUCGAUGGGUAGGGGUUCUGAGAGGAAGGUCCCCCACAUUGGAACUGAGACACGGUCCAAACUCCUACGGGAGGCAGCAGUGAGGAAUAUUGGUCAAUGGACGCAAGUCUGAACCAGCCAAGUAGCGUGCAGGAAGACGGCCCUCUGGGUUGUAAACUGCUUUUAGUUGGGAAUAAAGUGCAUCACGUGUGAUGUUUUGUAUGUACCAUCAGAAAAAGGACCGGCUAAUUCCGUGCCAGCAGCCGCGGUAAUACGGAAGGUCCAGGCGUUAUCCGGAUUUAUUGGGUUUAAAGGGAGCGCAGGCGGACCUUUAAGUCAGCUGUGAAAUACGGCGGCUCAACCGUCGAACUGCAGUUGAUACUGGAGGUCUUGAGUGCACACAGGGAUACUGGGAUUCAUGGUGUAGCGGUGAAAUGCUCAGAUAUCAUGAAGAACUCCGACCGCGAAGGCAGGUAUCCGGGGUGCAACUGACGCUGAGGCUCGAAAGUGCGGGUAUCAAACAGGAUUAGAUACCCUGGUAGUCCGCACAGUAAACGAUGAAUACUCGCGAUUUGCGAUACACAGUAAGUCGCCAAGCGAAAGCGUUAAGUAUUCCACCUGGGGAGUACGCCGGCAACGGUGCAACUCAAAGGAAUUGAC